UACGAAGGGGGCUAGCGUUGUUCGGAAUUACUGGGCGUAAAGCGCACGUAGGCGGCUUUGUAAGUUAGAGGUGAAAGCCUGGGGCUCAACUCCAGAACUGCCUUUAAAACUGCAUCGCUUGAAUCCAGGAGAGGUGAGUGGAAUUCCGAGUGUAGAGGUGAAAUUCGUAGAUAUUCGGAAGAACACCAGUGGCGAAGGCGACUUACUGGACGACUGUUGACGCUGAGGUGCGAAAGCGUGGGGAGCAAACAGG
Molecule: ribosomal RNA, 253 nt
Filed under: uncultured bacterium
Lineage: Bacteria
Description: partial 16S ribosomal RNA
Rfam family: Bacterial small subunit ribosomal RNA
Source: RNAcentral